RNAcentral lists this ribosomal RNA (415 nucleotides) under uncultured bacterium. RNAcentral describes it as "bacterial SSU rRNA". It matches the Rfam family "Bacterial small subunit ribosomal RNA", at positions 358 to 773 of the family's 1533-position model. The record is from RNAcentral.
GGAAUCUUGCGCAAUGGCCGAAAGGCUGACGCAGCGACGCCGCGUGUGGGAGGAAGCCUUUCGGGGUGUAAACCACUGUUGCCCGGGACGAACAGCUCCUUCAUGGAGCCUGACGGUAACGGGUGAGGAAGCACCGGCUAACUCCGUGCCAGCAGCCGCGGUAAUACGGGGGGUGCGAGCGUUGUCCGGAAUCACUGGGCGUAAAGGGCGCGUAGGUGGCUUGGUAAGCGUGUGGUGAAAGCCCGGGGCUCAACCCCGGGUCUGCCAUGCGAACUGCUAUGGCUUGAGCACUGUAGAGGCAGGUAGAAUUCCGGGUGUAGCGGUGGAAUGCGUAGAGAUCCGGAAGAAUACCGGUGGCGAAGGCGGCCUGCUGGGCAGUGGCUGACACUGAGGCGCGACAGCGUGGGGAGCAAAC